GAGCUGUCUGUCUUUUCCAUCUGGGCUACACAGUGAGCUGAGAAGGUCAAGGGCACUUUCUAUGGGCAGCACCCAUGCUAGACUUUGGAGCCCAGUUUGCAUGGGAAAACCAGCUAUUGUCACAAACACUCUGAGCAUGUCACGCUGAGGGGCAAAGCAGCAGGCGUCCAGUUUGGAAGUCUCCUCCUAGAAUGCUGGUUGCUUAGCAACAAGAU
RNAcentral lists this long non-coding RNA (215 nucleotides) under Chinchilla lanigera (long-tailed chinchilla). Lineage: Eukaryota; Metazoa; Chordata; Mammalia; Rodentia; Chinchillidae. The record is from RNAcentral.